RNAcentral lists this unclassified non-coding RNA (224 nucleotides) under uncultured Gammaproteobacteria bacterium. RNAcentral's name for it is "contains 16S-23S intergenic spacer region". Lineage: Bacteria; Pseudomonadati; Pseudomonadota; Gammaproteobacteria. The record is from RNAcentral.
UCCGGUUUGUCACCGGCAGUCCCAUUAGAGUGCCCAACUGAAUGUAGCAACUAAUGGCAAGGGUUGCGCUCGUUGCGGGACUUAACCCAACAUCUCACGACACGAGCUGACGACAGCCAUGCAGCACCUGUGUUCAGGUUCCCUUUCGGGCACCAGGGCAUCUCUGCCCCGUCCCUGACAUGUCAAGGGUAGGUAAGGUGGGGAUGACGUUCCUGUACCAUAGA